Molecule: ribosomal RNA, 505 nt
Filed under: uncultured bacterium
Lineage: Bacteria
Description: partial 16S ribosomal RNA
Rfam family: Bacterial small subunit ribosomal RNA
Source: RNAcentral
GACGAACGCUGGCGGCGUGCCUAAUACAUGCAAGUGGGACGCAAGGACACACACUGUGCUUGCACACCGUGUUUUCUUGAGUCGCGAACGGGUGAGUAACGCGUAGGUAACCUGCCUAUUAGCGGGGGAUAACUAUUGGAAACGAUAGCUAAUACCGCAUAAUAUUAAUUAUUGCAUGAUAAUUGAUUGAACGAUGCAAGCGCAUCACUAGUAGAUGGACCUGCGUUGUAUUAGCUAGUUGGUAAGGUAAGAGCUUACCCAGGCGACGAUACAUAGCCGACCUGAGAGGGUGAUCGGCCACACUGGGACUGGGACACGGCCCAGACUGCUACGGGAGGCAGCAGGAGGGAAUCUUCGGCAAGGGACGAAAGUCUGACCGAGCAACGCCGCGUGAGUGAAGAAGGGUGUCGGAUCGGAAAGCUCGGUUGUAAGUCAAGAACGUGAGUGAGAGUGGAAAGUUCACACAGUGACGGUAGCUGAACAGAAAGGGACGGCUAACUACGUG